GUAAGAAGGAGACCUCUCCUAAUUCAUGGUGCAAAAUCUGGGGGGGAUGUUGUGCUUGUGAAGGCUGAAAGGAUACUAAUAUUCAGUUAAAGAUGUCAUAUGUACUGACCUUAUCCUAAUCUCUCAGCACUGCCCAGGUACCGCAUAUUUGCAAACCUGGAUCUGUGCUGUACUGCACUUCUCAGGCAUGACCCCACAGUGCUCAACUACGAGCUCACCAUCAAACACAUGAGAGCUGUCAUGUAAUCAGUGGGACGCAUGCAUGUGCAACCACUGACUUGAUGUGGGAGGCAGACGUAUAAGGACAUAUCUCAGCAGACACCCACUUCAGGGACUGAAUCUCACCACCUGAAAAGGAGCUCUUGGCUGCAAGAUUCACUUCAACAUCAGCAGCUUGACCCCUAAUGGGCUACUGAGCUUCGGGUCAUCGGUGACCAACAGUUGUCGGCGAUGUCCAUGAAGUGCGUUGGAGAUCUUAGCCCCAUGGGCGAUGAAGAGGCAUCUCGCCGUCCUGGCAGCCCCUGGCCCUGUGGGCGAUCAAGUCAGCGUGCACCACGGGACACACAGGGAUGAGCUGACUCUCACACCCAGUGUCUCCGGUGCGCGAUACAGGUGGCAUGUGCUGUACAUCCAGCCUCCGGGACCUUGCAAGGCUGACAAGGCAAUUAAAAAAUAUCCGGAGGAGCGCCUUGUUCAUUGAAAUCUUGAGUUAUAUAAAUAAAUAUAAUGGCUGAGCUCCCCGGCAGGUUGCAGAGAUAGCGAGGGUAAAGCGGCACUCUUUGCAGACAAUUAAAAUGUCUUCUCUCACAGCGUAAGGAACGGGAAGCCAAAGUCGAUUAUAACAAGAACUAUUUAAAUUACUGGCAAAACAAUGUGAUGUUUGCCCUUUGGAACGGCAGAUGGCUAAGUACUUUAUUUCAAUGGGGAUGAUAAGGCUGCGUUCUGAUAUUUAAAAGAUAAAAAUAUUUCUUUGUGUAAUAGGCCUAGCUUCUCAUUUAUGAAGCUCUCACUUCCCUAUCCUAAACAGUGUGGGGAAGUGUGGGGGUUUUUUUCCAUUAAAAGUUUGUUCUUUCAUUUCCCAUUCCUCCAGGAUGUGAUUUUUUUUUUCCCCCAGAGGAACACUUUUUAAACAGCAUUUUGCUCCCUCUUAUUUGACUAUUACCUGUAAAUGAGAUAAACAGAGGUUAAAUUAGUCGUGGAUGAAGUCAGCACGCUAAGCAUCUUAAAUAAUUGGGAUUUGCCGAUUGAGUUAAUGUCCUUGUAAAUUAUCCCACAGUAGAUAUGACUGUAAUUUCCAGAUGCAGUUUAAUUGUUUAUGCUAUAGAGGUUUUUCAGAGACGUAUUUAAAAAUGAAAGUUUCCUGUUAAGUAACAGCAAGAAUCUAUGAAUAAACAGACUGCUCUCGGAGCUUUUGAGACACCUUUGAGAUGACUCCCUUCCCUUUGAGGCAGCACCUACAGUGCCUGAAAACCAGAGGCAGAAAUG
Long non-coding RNA from Alligator sinensis (Chinese alligator), 1485 nucleotides. RefSeq lists it as uncharacterized. NCBI's taxonomy places the organism in Eukaryota, Metazoa, Chordata, Crocodylia, Alligatoridae. The record is from RefSeq and is a predicted model, not a curated record. The transcript has 3 exons.